Acanthosepion pharaonis is the source of this 108-nucleotide non-coding RNA. NCBI's taxonomy places the organism in Eukaryota, Metazoa, Mollusca, Cephalopoda, Sepiida, Sepiidae. The record is from the annotation of a GenBank genome assembly.
UUACGGCCAUACCAUGUUGAAACACCAGUUCUUGUACGAUCACCAAAGUUAAGCAAUGUCAAGCUUAGUCAGUAUCUAGAUGGGUGACUGCUUGGAAAUACCAGAUGC